RNAcentral lists this ribosomal RNA (497 nucleotides) under uncultured bacterium. RNAcentral describes it as "partial 16S ribosomal RNA". It matches the Rfam family "Bacterial small subunit ribosomal RNA", at positions 28 to 507 of the family's 1533-position model. The record is from RNAcentral.
GACGAACGCUGGCGGCGUGCCUAAUACAUGCAAGUAGAACGCUGAAGAGAGGAGCUUGCUCUUCUUGGAUGAGUUGCGAACGGGUGAGUAACGCGUAGGUAACCUGCCCUGUAGCGGGGGAUAACUAUUGGAAACGAUAGCUAAUACCGCAUAACAAUGGAUGACCCAUGUCAUUUAUUUGAAAGGGGCAAAUGCUCCACUACAAGAUGGACCUGCGUUGUAUUAGCUAGUAGGUGAGGUAACGGCUCACCUAGGCGACGAUACAUAGCCGACCUGAGAGGGUGAUCGGCCACACUUGGACUGAGACACGGCCCAGACUCCUACGGGAGGCAGCAGUAGGGAAUCUUCGGCAAUGGGGGCAACCCUGACCGAGCAACGCCGCGUGAGUGAAGAAGGUUUUCGGAUCGUAAAGCUCUGUUGUAAGUCAAGAACGAGUGUGAGAGUGGAAAGUUCACACUGUGACGGUAGCUUACCAGAAAGGGACGGCUAACUACGUG